Molecule: ribosomal RNA, 524 nt
Filed under: Pichia manshurica
Lineage: Eukaryota; Fungi; Ascomycota; Pichiomycetes; Pichiales; Pichiaceae
Description: partial large subunit ribosomal RNA
Rfam family: Eukaryotic large subunit ribosomal RNA
Source: RNAcentral
GCGGCAAGAGCUCAGAUUUGAAAUCGUGUUUCGGCACGAGUUGUAGAGUGUAGGCGGGAGUCUCUGUGGAGCGCGGUGUCCAAGUCCCUUGGAACAGGGUGCCUGAGAGGGUGAGAGCCCCGUAGGGUGCUGCGCGAAGCUUUUGAGGCCCUGCUGACGAGUCGAGUUGUUUGGGAAUGCAGCUCCAAGCGGGUGGUAAAUUCCAUCUAAGGCUAAAUAUUGGCGAGAGACCGAUAGCGAACAAGUACUGUGAAGGAAAGAUGAAAAGCACUUUGAAAAGAGAGUGAAACAGCACGUGAAAUUGUUGAAAGGGAAGGGUAUUGGGCUCGACAUGGGGGGUGCGCACCGCUGUCUCUUGUAGGCGGCGCUCUGGGCGCCCUCUGGGCCAGCAUCGGUUCCUGCUGCGGGAGAAGGGGCUCCGGAAAGUGGCUCUUCGGAGUGUUAUAGCCGGGGCCAGAUGCCGCGUGUGGGGACCGAGGACUGCGGCUUCUGUCUCGGAUGCUGGCAUAACGGCGCAAUACCGC